UAUCGCAAAUUUUGUCGUUAUCGA
This 24-nucleotide non-coding RNA is filed under the name Arabidopsis thaliana (thale cress). The record is from RNAcentral. Lineage: Eukaryota; Viridiplantae; Streptophyta; Magnoliopsida; Brassicales; Brassicaceae.